Molecule: ribosomal RNA, 253 nt
Filed under: uncultured bacterium
Lineage: Bacteria
Description: partial 16S ribosomal RNA
Rfam family: Bacterial small subunit ribosomal RNA
Source: RNAcentral
UACGAAGGGGGCGAGCGUUGUUCGGAAUCACUGGGCGUAAAGAGUGCGUAGGCGGUUUUGUAAGUUAGAAGUGAAAGCCCAGGGCUCAACCUUGGAAUUGCUUUUAAGACUGCAAGACUUGAAUUCAGGAGAAGAUAGCGGAAUUCCCAGUGUAGCAGUGAAAUGCGUAGAUAUUGGGAGGAACACCGGUGGCGUAGGCGGCUAUCUAGACUGACAUUGACGCUGAGGCACGAAAGCGUGGGGAUCAAACAGG